RNAcentral lists this ribosomal RNA (554 nucleotides) under Cytospora longiostiolata. RNAcentral's name for it is "eukaryotic LSU rRNA". It matches the Rfam family "Eukaryotic large subunit ribosomal RNA", at positions 73 to 655 of the family's 3401-position model. The record is from RNAcentral. Lineage: Eukaryota; Fungi; Ascomycota; Sordariomycetes; Diaporthales; Cytosporaceae.
AUGCCUAGUACGGCGAGUGAGCGGCAACAGCUCAAAUUUGAAAGCUGGCUCCGGCCCGCGUUGUAAUUUGCAGAGGAUGCUUCUGGCGAGGUGCCUUCCGAGUUCCCUGGAACGGGACGCCAUAGAGGGUGAGAGCCCCGUAUGGAUGGACACCAAACCUGUGUGAAGCUCCUUCAACGAGUCGAGUAGUUUGGGAAUGCUGCUCUAAAUGGGAGGUAAAUCUCUUCUAAAGCUAAAUACCGGCCAGAGACCGAUAGCGCACAAGUAGAGUGAUCGAAAGAUGAAAAGCACCUUGAAAAGGGGGUUAAACAGUACGUGAAAUUGUUGAAAGGGAAGCGCUUGUGACCAGACUUGCGCCGGGCAGCUCAUCAGGGGUUCUCCCCUGUGCACUCUGCCCGGCUCAGGCCAGCAUCGGUUCUCGUGGGAGGAUAAGAACGGUAGGAACGUGGCCCCCCUUCGGGGGGGUGUUAUAGCCUGCCGUACGAUACUCCCGUGGGGACCGAGGUUCGCGCUCCGCAAGGAUGCUGGCGUAAUGGUCAUCAGCGACCCGUCUU